RNAcentral lists this transfer RNA (74 nucleotides) under Clostridia bacterium. RNAcentral describes it as "tRNA-Gly". It matches the Rfam family "tRNA". Rfam says of the family: Transfer RNA (tRNA) molecules are approximately 80 nucleotides in length. Their secondary structure includes four short double-helical elements and three loops (D, anti-codon, and T loops). Further hydrogen bonds mediate the characteristic L-shaped molecular structure. tRNAs have two regions of fundamental functional importance: the anti-codon, which is responsible for specific mRNA codon recognition, and the 3' end, to which the tRNAs corresponding amino acid is attached (by aminoacyl-tRNA synthetases). tRNAs cope with the degeneracy of the genetic code in two manners: having more than one tRNA (with a specific anti-codon) for a particular amino acid; and 'wobble' base-pairing, i.e. permitting non-standard base-pairing at the 3rd anti-codon position. The record is from RNAcentral. Lineage: Bacteria; Bacillati; Bacillota; Clostridia.
GCGAGCAUAGUUUAGUGGUAAAAUAUGAGCUUCCCAAGCUUAGGUUGCGGGUCCGAUUCCCGUUGCUCGCUCCA